This 407-nucleotide ribosomal RNA is filed under the name uncultured bacterium. RNAcentral's name for it is "partial 16S ribosomal RNA". It matches the Rfam family "Bacterial small subunit ribosomal RNA", at positions 28 to 526 of the family's 1533-position model. The record is from RNAcentral.
GACGAACGCUGGCGGCGUGCCUAAUACAUGCAAGUAGGACGCAGUUGCGAACGGGUGAGUAACGCGUAGGUAACUACCUAUUAGAGGGGGAUAACUAUUGGAAACGAUAGCUAAUACCGCAUACUAGUAGAUGGACCUGCGUUGUAUUAGCUAGUAGGUAGGGUAAAGGGCUACCAAGGCAACGAUACAUAGCCGACCCGGGAGGGGGAUCAGCCACACUGCGAGUGAGACAAGGCCCAGACUCCUACGGGAGGCAGCCGGAGGGAAUCUUCGGCAAUUGGGGGAAACCUGGCCGAGCCACGCCGCGUGAGUGAAGAAGGUUUUCGGAUCGUAAAGCUAUGUUGUUAAGGAAGCGGUACUUAACCAGAAAGGGACGGCUAACUACGUGCCAGCCGCCGCGGUAAUUC